UCCCACACAACACUGUCCCCCAGAAACAU
This 29-nucleotide non-coding RNA is filed under the name Mus musculus (house mouse). The record is from RNAcentral. Lineage: Eukaryota; Metazoa; Chordata; Mammalia; Rodentia; Muridae.